Molecule: ribosomal RNA, 503 nt
Filed under: uncultured bacterium
Lineage: Bacteria
Description: bacterial SSU rRNA
Rfam family: Bacterial small subunit ribosomal RNA
Source: RNAcentral
GGCUCAGGAUGAACGCUAGCGACAGGCCUAACACAUGCAAGUCGAGGGGCAGCACAAGGAGCAAUCUGAGGUGGCGACCGGCGCACGGGUGAGUAACACGUAUGCAACCUGCCUGUAAGCGGGGAAUAACCCGUUGAAAGACGGACUAAUACCGCAUAAUACUAAAUUACUGCAUGGUAAUUUAUUUAAACAUUUAUGGCUUACAGAUGGGCAUGCGCAUGAUUAGCUAGUUGGAGAGGUAACGGCUCCCCAAGGCAACGAUCAUUAGGGGUUCUGAGAGGAAGGUCCCCCACACUGGUACUGAGACACGGACCAGACUCCUACGGGAGGCAGCAGUGAGGAAUAUUGGUCAAUGGACGAGAGUCUGAACCAGCCAAGUCGCGUGCAGGAAGAAUUGUCCUAUGGAUUGUAAACUGCUUUUGCAGGGGAAUAAAGUGCAUCACGUGUGAUGUUUUGUAUGUACUCUGCGAAUAAGGAUCGGCUAACUCCGUGCCAGCCGCGGC